UCUAAAACAAUCUCUCUCGGGGGCCACGUGACCCGACCCAGUCGCAGCGCGCGAUUGCCCACGUUGCUGCUUCCCUUUCGCCACCGCCAGUCUACCUGCUCUCCCUUCGAUUCUUGGAUCAAAAAGCAUUGGGAAUGGCGGAUUCAUCUGCUCUAUGGGAAUCCGUCCCCUUCGAUUCUUGAAGGUGGCCGCGUCGGGGGCGAUCCCUACGGGCCUUACUCCUGGGAAUAAAUCCUUCCCCUUCUCCGAAGGUUGUCGCGGCAGAGAAAGUGAGCAGCGGAGGGUUGCAGAAGAAGCUCGUUAUGACCAUCGCAGUGCCACUGCUUUGGGGCGUUCCACCUGCCUCUGGGACCCUCUGCGUUGCAGUUCGUAGUGGGGUUGGUAGGUAUUGUAGAAAAGAUAUAUCGGCAGUGGAACUUUUUGUAAAUUACAAACAGUGUAUCGCGAGCAUCAGCAAAUUACAGGAGAUGUUAUGUACAAAUGACUCAAAAUAGGUCUUGGUAAGUUAUCCCAUUGUAUAUAUAUAAUCUUUUAUUGUUAGUUUUCAUCAGAGGAGAUUUCAAACCCUUUAAAAUAAGAAAAGCGACUUAAGUACAUUUGCAUCA
Molecule: long non-coding RNA, 605 nt
Organism: Musa acuminata subsp. malaccensis (wild Malaysian banana)
Lineage: Eukaryota; Viridiplantae; Streptophyta; Magnoliopsida; Zingiberales; Musaceae
Source: RefSeq, a predicted model, not a curated record